This 164-nucleotide small nuclear RNA is filed under the name Cebus imitator (Panamanian white-faced capuchin). Its description in RNAcentral is "U1 spliceosomal RNA (ENSCCAG00000032178.1)". It matches the Rfam family "U1 spliceosomal RNA". Rfam says of the family: U1 is a small nuclear RNA (snRNA) component of the spliceosome (involved in pre-mRNA splicing). Its 5' end forms complementary base pairs with the 5' splice junction, thus defining the 5' donor site of an intron. There are significant differences in sequence and secondary structure between metazoan and yeast U1 snRNAs, the latter being much longer (568 nucleotides as compared to 164 nucleotides in human). The record is from Rfam by way of RNAcentral. Lineage: Eukaryota; Metazoa; Chordata; Mammalia; Primates; Cebidae.
AUACCUACCUGGAAGGGGAGAUACCAUGAUCACGAAGGUGGUUUUCCCAGGGCGAGGGUUAUCCAUUGCACUCUGGAUGUGUUGACCCCUGCGAUUUCCCCAAAUUUGGGAAACUCAACUGCAUAAUUUGUGGUAGUAGGGGACUGCAUUUGAGCUUUCCCCUG